GUUUAACCGUCCCCUUAGCGGGUGGCUACACGCAGAACUGUGUAUAUAGAGAUAUUCUUUACUCAGCAGGCUGGGGCCUCUUUUUGGAAUAAACGAUUAGCUGCGCUUCUUGCCAAAGAACUGUUUGCUGGGAAACUCACACAGCAUGGUGCAGCACCCGCUGCACCCUCUGAACUUCAUCAGAAAUGUGUGAAGGCAUUUUCUUUCUACUGCAAUCAGAAUUCUUUCCUAGUGGUCACGUUAAUAUAUGAGUGUACAAUUUCGCAAUUCAGGAUCUGGUAAAUAGCCUUAUUUUUCUGCAGCAGUGCAUACAUCUGCACAAUUUUGACCACCUGUGCCAGGACCCUGCUGUCGCGAUCCUUUGCUGAGCUUUUCCCAAGACUGCUGCUCUUUCGGUCCUAGGGCAAACCCCUUUGCACACGCUGGCCUCUCCCCGCCGAACUGGGGCGAAACCCCUUGUUAUCGGCCCGGUAACGCUUCGGGAAGCAGGGUGGCCGGUCUCGGCCGCUCAAUGCUCCCAGGGCUCUCCCAGGAAGGGGAUGCCAGGGGUGAGUGUCCCCCCAGCCGGGCUGCGCGACCUGGAUGAAAGGGGGACCUGGGCUGGCGGCUGUUCCUCGCUGAUAUUCAGAGACCCCGUGCAGACCGGGCAUCCACGCUGCAGCCGCCAUAAAAGCCUGCGGGCGACUGGGGGAGCCGUGGGGCGCGGGGACAGCCAGGCGGAGCCCCGAAACGGGAGGCGGCCCGCCCCGUGCUCCCGGCGGGGAGGCGGCGGCGGCGGCAGCAGCGGGCAGCGCCGCCCGGCGGGCGGGGCGCGGGCUAUAAAUCCGCCCCGCGGCAGCAGACGGGCGGUGGUUGGGACGCGGCGGUGGCGGCAGAGCAGUAUCGUGGCAGAUAUCAGCUACUGACCAUGUCAACAGAGUUCCAGGAUGCUCACCUUGCGGAGGUGAAACCUCUGGUGGAGAAGGAGGAGGUAAUUAUUUUAAAGUUUUCUAGAGCUUAUGUGUUUUAUUUCAGGGCUGCUGUUGGAACUGCACAUGUGUUCUUGGAUUAGUUCUAACCUAUUGUAAUGGAAGAAACAAGUAAGGGAAACCGGAGAUGGAAUAAGAGUGUUGGGUUUUGUUUUUUUUUUUUUUAAUAAUGCAAACCAGCCUUAAUUAUUUGCUAUUUCUUGAUCUUUGGUUUUACUCUUCUCUAGUCCUACUCUGGUGACACUUCUUGUUUUCUAAAUCAUGACAGUUCUGGGUGUCUUUAUGUCUUUAGCCAUUUGGAGUGAUGCCGGUUGUGCUGUAUCACAUAUAUCCAUCUAUGCCUAUAGACUUCUCAACGUAAAGAUACCAACGUUGCUCUCUUAGCUACCUUUCAGGGAGGCACAGAGAGAGCCUUUGCUUUUCCUUUGGGCACAUCUGAGUCCAGAGAUACAACUGUGCCCCAUCUAGUCCUCUCUGCCUGCACUGAGCUAUGAGUUACAGCUAAACUGCUACCAGGUCUGCAGCCGUUGGGUGUGCACAAGCUGCAGCCUUUCCUCUGGGGCUGCAGUGUAGAAACACCCUAGCCUUUUUCUUGCUUCACCUUGUUGUACUUCUUUCCAUUUGUUUUUGCAUCAUUUUCUUCAAAACUCUGCCCACAGCAUCUAGGUUAGUGGCUGUCUGACUCUGGUGGUAGCAGCGCUCUGCGCUUUGAUAUGUUUGUGGCAAAUGUAAUGCAUGAAGGAACCUCUCUGUUUAUUUCUUGAAUCAAAACAAGAUUUUUUCUUUUGUUUCUAAUGAUUGUAAUUCUUGACAAUGACAUGUAUAAGCAUGUUGGGUUUUUUCCCUGGUUUUCUACACUAGAACUAUUCAUGACUGUCUCUGCUACUUUCUUUUUUAUUCCCUACCUCUUUUGUGUAAACACUUCAGAAAAUGAUUUCCACUUGCGACUGCAGUGAAAUGGCUGGAGGAACUUUAAACACAGCUCCUUUGCCAAGGACAUUGCGUGAAAGCAGAGCUUGUUUGGGUACCAGUGAAUGCAGCACUCAGACUUUUCAGAAACUAAGAUCCCUUUUUAAUGCCAAUAUUGUUUGGUAGUAGCAAAGCAAGGGGGAUUCUCAGCAGAAGUCCUACGGGUGCUGAAAUGCUUUUGCUUCAAAGUUCAGAAAUAUCUUAAAACACUGAUUAACUUCCUGAGUUUCUGUAGCAUGUAGCUCAAAAGUUGGAAUCUUGGCCAUGAACCCUAUGUGCAUCUAUUCACAAUGUUACUUUAACUGUUGUCUACAUGGAGAAACCAGCAGAGUUUGAUUUCCUCUGUGGCCAUUCUUAAUAUAGAUGAAGGAAGUCGCUUCGUGUGUUUUGAGAAAGUGGAAAGAUUGCCCUGAAGGACACACAGCACACACUAGGGUUAAUAGUGGAGCUGGUGAUACACUCUGAAGUCGCAUCCUGGCUUGUUGUGCUUGGGUUUCUCCUACAGCUGAGUCUUUGUUCCUUAACAAUGAUGAGCCUUGCUUCGUAUGCUGCCUGUAUGGGUGCCACGUAAACUUAAUUCCUUUCCACUUUGGACCCCACUGGAGCAACAGUGUACGACAUUUACUAUGUUUAAAAGAUCAUGAGGCCAACAGUAUAGUAAAAUUAAAUGCCAGCAUGUUCUCUAAAGCUAAGGUUGUGUACCGUGACUUCCACAAGCUCAGUCAGCUCUUUAGCUACUUGUUUGUGAGUGCAAGACACUGCCUAAUUGCCUAAAGAUCACGGCUCUAGAGUCCUGUCAUAAUUACCAGUUGGGCUGUGGUGCUUUGAGGUCCACAGUCUUGAGAUGAUACUGCCCAAUAAUAAGACAUUUUCUGUCAUUAGUCUACCUGGGCUUCUGGGACUGAGAGAUGCCCUCGCUAGGAUCUUAAGCUUUGAUUUUUUUUUUCUUGAUACCCUUGUCAAGCUUUGGCUUUUCUGUCGUACUCUGCAGCAUAGAAAGUGUUUGCUUUGCUGUUCUUCCCUCUGUUUUCAGCCCUCUGAGGGAAAUUAGAGUUUGACUUCUUCCUUGCCUAUUAAUAAAAGGAGGUGACUGUGAGAUACUUCCUCCUUUGAAGUAAGGUGCCUUUUAGACUACUGGAAGUGAGGAGGACUUCACCUAACUUCUUUUCUGGUGGAGAUCUUCGACAGGCAUGGGAGCUUCUCAGUAACAGUGAUGGCCAUGAGUUGAAACAGACCUCUCUCUGUCCAGCCAGCCUCCCAAACAUAACCUAAUUUUGGCUGGGAUAAAACCUUUCCCACCUUCCACAUCAUGUAACCAAAUCCCAGUAACGACUGCUUAACCGAGUUGCAAGUGCUCGGUGCAUGCUGGAGCAGUGGCUUCCCGUCGUCGGCAGGACUGAGGGGGGCUGUUGGCUGUCCUACGGCUACAAUAAGCAAUCAAGAAAAGGUCGGUGUUUUACUGCUCCAGCCUGUCCAGUGAUUUAAAAAUAGCUGAAGAUGCGCUAGCUUUUGUGAUUUAUUUUGCUGGUCUGUAAUCUAGUAUUUUACUGCUUUCAUGUUCUCUGUGAAGAUUAGUGGGUAAAAGGUCUCGGGUGAAUUUUGAUGUUCAGCUUUCCUUGAAGGAAGGGACGGGACAGAGCUCUUGGCUGCAGAACCAGGGGGUUAGAACACACGUGUCCCAGCACAGGUUUCUGUAGCUGCACAAGUUACUUGCAUUAAUACUUUGAAAUCUCUUCACAGGCUAUCACUCGCCUCCUUCCAGACUUUGAUGUUCAGGCAAGUAAAGCUAUUCCUCUUUUUUUCUUUUUUUAUUUUCCCUUUUGGUACAAGGGGAAACUAAAUGGACAUUUGAGAGAACAGCAAAAUGUGAUCAGAAAUGACUGACUGCUGGCCAGAAGUACUGUUCCUGUGGGGGAGGGACCUGAAUGGGGCUCUGAUGUAGCAAUGUGAAGGGGACUGCAGGAGGUCUUUUCAGACUGAAGCUAAAAAAGUUUUAUCCAAAAGGGGUGGCUGGGUUGCAGGCAGUUUUAUUCUUCCUAGGAGAAU
Long non-coding RNA from Falco tinnunculus (common kestrel), 3983 nucleotides. Lineage: Eukaryota; Metazoa; Chordata; Aves; Falconiformes; Falconidae. The record is from Ensembl.